Molecule: ribosomal RNA, 1536 nt
Filed under: Bacteroides fragilis
Lineage: Bacteria; Pseudomonadati; Bacteroidota; Bacteroidia; Bacteroidales; Bacteroidaceae
Also listed under: 1 other name
Description: bacterial SSU rRNA
Rfam family: Bacterial small subunit ribosomal RNA
Source: RNAcentral
CUUUUACAAUGAAGAGUUUGAUCCUGGCUCAGGAUGAACGCUAGCUACAGGCUUAACACAUGCAAGUCGAGGGGCAUCAGGAAGAAAGCUUGCUUUCUUUGCUGGCGACCGGCGCACGGGUGAGUAACACGUAUCCAACCUGCCCUUUACUCGGGGAUAGCCUUUCGAAAGAAAGAUUAAUACCCGAUAGCAUAAUGAUUCCGCAUGGUUUCAUUAUUAAAGGAUUCCGGUAAAGGAUGGGGAUGCGUUCCAUUAGGUUGUUGGUGAGGUAACGGCUCACCAAGCCUUCGAUGGAUAGGGGUUCUGAGAGGAAGGUCCCCCACAUUGGAACUGAGACACGGUCCAAACUCCUACGGGAGGCAGCAGUGAGGAAUAUUGGUCAAUGGGCGCUAGCCUGAACCAGCCAAGUAGCGUGAAGGAUGAAGGCUCUAUGGGUCGUAAACUUCUUUUAUAUAAGAAUAAAGUGCAGUAUGUAUACUGUUUUGUAUGUAUUAUAUGAAUAAGGAUCGGCUAACUCCGUGCCAGCAGCCGCGGUAAUACGGAGGAUCCGAGCGUUAUCCGGAUUUAUUGGGUUUAAAGGGAGCGUAGGUGGACUGGUAAGUCAGUUGUGAAAGUUUGCGGCUCAACCGUAAAAUUGCAGUUGAUACUGUCAGUCUUGAGUACAGUAGAGGUGGGCGGAAUUCGUGGUGUAGCGGUGAAAUGCUUAGAUAUCACGAAGAACUCCGAUUGCGAAGGCAGCUCACUGGACUGCAACUGACACUGAUGCUCGAAAGUGUGGGUAUCAAACAGGAUUAGAUACCCUGGUAGUCCACACAGUAAACGAUGAAUACUCGCUGUUUGCGAUAUACAGUAAGCGGCCAAGCGAAAGCAUUAAGUAUUCCACCUGGGGAGUACGCCGGCAACGGUGAAACUCAAAGGAAUUGACGGGGGCCCGCACAAGCGGAGGAACAUGUGGUUUAAUUCGAUGAUACGCGAGGAACCUUACCCGGGCUUAAAUUGCAGUGGAAUGAUGUGGAAACAUGUCAGUGAGCAAUCACCGCUGUGAAGGUGCUGCAUGGUUGUCGUCAGCUCGUGCCGUGAGGUGUCGGCUUAAGUGCCAUAACGAGCGCAACCCUUAUCUUUAGUUACUAACAGGUCAUGCUGAGGACUCUAGAGAGACUGCCGUCGUAAGAUGUGAGGAAGGUGGGGAUGACGUCAAAUCAGCACGGCCCUUACGUCCGGGGCUACACACGUGUUACAAUGGGGGGUACAGAAGGCAGCUAGCGGGUGACCGUAUGCUAAUCCCAAAAUCCUCUCUCAGUUCGGAUCGAAGUCUGCAACCCGACUUCGUGAAGCUGGAUUCGCUAGUAAUCGCGCAUCAGCCACGGCGCGGUGAAUACGUUCCCGGGCCUUGUACACACCGCCCGUCAAGCCAUGGGAGCCGGGGGUACCUGAAGUACGUAACCGCAAGGAUCGUCCUAGGGUAAAACUGGUGACUGGGGCUAAGUCGUAACAAGGUAGCCGUACCGGAAGGUGCGGCUGGAACACCUCCUUUCU